UACGUAGGCAGCAAGCGUUGUUCGGAGUUACUGGGCGUAAAGGGUGCGUAGGCGGUUGUUUAAGUUUGGUGUGAAAUCUCCCGGCUCAACUGGGAGGGUGCGCCGAAUACUGAAUGACUCGAGUGCGGGAGAGGAGAGUGGAAUUCCUGGUGUAGCGGUGAAAUGCGUAGAUAUCAGGAGGAACACCGGUGGUGUAGACGGCUCUCUGGACCGUAACUGACGCUGAGGCACGAAAGCGUGGGUAGCAAACAGG
This 253-nucleotide ribosomal RNA is filed under the name uncultured bacterium. Its description in RNAcentral is "partial 16S ribosomal RNA". It matches the Rfam family "Bacterial small subunit ribosomal RNA", at positions 524 to 776 of the family's 1533-position model. The record is from RNAcentral.